RNAcentral lists this ribosomal RNA (253 nucleotides) under uncultured bacterium. RNAcentral describes it as "partial 16S ribosomal RNA". It matches the Rfam family "Bacterial small subunit ribosomal RNA", at positions 524 to 776 of the family's 1533-position model. The record is from RNAcentral.
UACAGAGGGGGCAAGCGUUAUUCGGAAUUAUUGGGCGUAAAGGGCGCGUAGGCGGCUUUGCAAGUGACGGGUGAAAUCCCUCGGCUUAACCGAGGAACUGCCUGUCAGACUGCAUGGCUUGAGACCAGGAGAGGUGAGUGGAAUUCCCAGUGUAGCGGUGAAAUGCGUAGAUAUUGGGAGGAACACCAGUGGCGAAGGCGGCUCACUGGACUGGUACUGACGCUGAGGUGCGAAAGCGUGGGGAGCAAACAGG